GUAGGGAAUCUUGCGCAAUGGGCGAAAGCCUGACGCAGCCAUGCCGCGUGAAUGAUGAAGGUCUUAGGAUUGUAAAAUUCUUUCACCGGGGACGAUAAUGACGGUACCCGGAGAAGAAGCCCCGGCUAACUUCGUGCCAGCAGCCGCGGUAAUACGAAGGGGGCUAGCGUUGCUCGGAAUUACUGGGCGUAAAGGGAGCGUAGGCGGACAGUUUAGUCAGAGGUGAAAGCCCAGGGCUCAACCUUGGAAUUGCCUUUGAUACUGGCUGUCUUGAGUACGGGAGAGGUGAGUGGAACUCCGAGUGUAGAGGUGAAAUUCGUAGAUAUUCGGAAGAACACCAGUGGCGAAGGCGACUCACUGGUCCGUUACUGACGCUGAGGCGCGAAAGCGUGGGGAGCAAACAGGAUUAGAUACCCGGGUAGUCC
This 425-nucleotide ribosomal RNA is filed under the name uncultured bacterium. RNAcentral describes it as "partial 16S ribosomal RNA". It matches the Rfam family "Bacterial small subunit ribosomal RNA", at positions 354 to 796 of the family's 1533-position model. The record is from RNAcentral.